This 189-nucleotide small nucleolar RNA is filed under the name Dichanthelium oligosanthes. RNAcentral's name for it is "Small nucleolar RNA Z112". It matches the Rfam family "Small nucleolar RNA Z112". Rfam says of the family: Z112 is a member of the C/D class of snoRNA which contain the C (UGAUGA) and D (CUGA) box motifs. Most of the members of the box C/D family function in directing site-specific 2'-O-methylation of substrate RNAs. Lineage: Eukaryota; Viridiplantae; Streptophyta; Magnoliopsida; Poales; Poaceae. The record is from Rfam by way of RNAcentral.
GUCCCUAGGAGGAUCUCAAGACCUACCGAUAGGAAGUGCCGUUUGACACUGCAAACAGCAGCUGCUUCUCUCCGCUGCUGGUGUCCAUCCGUAGACCAUAACCUUUGUGGUUUGGUCUAUGAUGGAGCUCCCAUCUGCAGUAGUUUGAUUCAGCUGUGGUGUGUGAUUUAAAUUGGGUCUCUGAGGGAU